GUCUGUGGCCAUGCUACCCUAAACAAGCCUGAUGUCUGAUCUCGGAAGCUAAGGAGGAUUGGGCCUGGUUAGCACUUGGAUGGGAGACCACCUAGGAAGACCAGGUGCUGUAGGCA
This 116-nucleotide ribosomal RNA is filed under the name Pteropus alecto (black flying fox). The record is from RNAcentral. RNAcentral also lists the same sequence under 1 other name. Lineage: Eukaryota; Metazoa; Chordata; Mammalia; Chiroptera; Pteropodidae.